Molecule: long non-coding RNA, 1357 nt
Filed under: Marmota monax (woodchuck)
Lineage: Eukaryota; Metazoa; Chordata; Mammalia; Rodentia; Sciuridae
Source: RNAcentral
CCUGAACAUGCUGGGAGACUGAGACCUGUAGUGGGAGAAGGGAGGGAGGAGUGGGGAGGAGCCACCACCCCAGGGGAGGCUCAGCCUGUCAGGCCCAGGCUCUGCUGAGCUCCUGGCAGCAGGAACAGGAGGCUGGACUCAAGGCAGGCCUUCUGACUCCACUCCACAACACUCUAGCCCUACAUGUAACUACACCGUCAAAUGGAGCUUCUAACUGCUUCAAAAAAAAAUUGUAUAAGGAUGGAUGACAGGAUAAAAAUCAGCAAGAGACAUAGGCGUGAAGUUAGGGAGAUGGAACUGUGUUGUACACACAGCUUCUCACUGGAUUCGUCAUUCUGAGACUCUCUUCUACAGACUCUCAAAGGCAAGGAAAAAGAAAAGAAAUAUUAUAAAAGGAAAUAUUCCACUUCAUAUCACGUCAACAUUAUAAAGAAGAAUUAUAUCUGGGAACUAUGUAGCUGAAGCUAGUUGGUACAUGACAUGGCAAUACUCUACAAUCAGUCUGCCAAUGACUCUUGGGGAAGAAGCUGCGCUUUGCCAGAAUUUCAUUUCUAUGCCAAUGCUCCAGUUAAAGGAGAGCCCACUGUACAUGGCUGGAAAACGUAUCAAGCACUUUACAUUUCUUGUUCAGAUAGUAUACUGAUUUCAAUUUCUUUACACAGCCCUUCUAUAGCCUGUCUCUUGCCAGAUUAUAUUUUUUUAAAUUUAAUCACCUUAAUCUUGGAAGGGUCCCAAAAUGCACACUUCCUGUAAGCCACAGCUUUGACUCAACACUGCCAAACUCCUUCUCAGCACGCGCCAAGGACCAAGAUCAAGAGCUUCCUCCUCCUAAGCCACUACAGUCUAACAUAGAGGACAGAGAUACAUCCUAAAGCAUCUUCUGAUGUCCAUGGGAUGUUCAGAAACUUAGUCACUUGAAAAACCUCCCUGAGUGGAUAUGGAGUGGACAGUCGCUGUCCAACUUGUGGGGCUGGGGCUGCCCCAAAAGAACUGCUACAAAUGAGUCUGCCACUUAAAAUUCAAACAGAGGGCAGAGUUGGUAUUUCUGAGGAGAGUCAUUAAAAGCUAAGAAAUGCUUACUUCUUGAAAAUAAGGAGAUGGGGGGAUAAAAGGAAAAGGGAAUGGGAGUGUGUUUACUCCACUUGUAAAAUAUACUUCAAAGUCUGUACUUCCAAAAUCAGUUUUUCUUAUCCUGAUACUUUAUAAGAUUUCUUUGUUUGCUUCUUUUAAAUUAACAGCAAGUAGACAGCAUUGAAAGAGAAACCUCAUUCGACAUUCAUGUCAAAGGGCCUGGGGAGGUCAGAAUCAACCUGAGCGGCAACUAUUAACUAAAGUUUGGAGAGUGGAAAUACAAAAG